RNAcentral lists this long non-coding RNA (544 nucleotides) under Micromonas pusilla. Its description in RNAcentral is "long non-coding RNA (MPUS_LNC000172)". Lineage: Eukaryota; Viridiplantae; Chlorophyta; Mamiellophyceae; Mamiellales; Mamiellaceae. The record is from RNAcentral.
AGGACACGCAGUGGAUCUGGGAGUCCAAAGCCGACGGCGCGUUCGCCAUCUCCCCAGACGACGGCGAGCCCCUCGGCCGCGGCGUCGAGAUCAACAUCUACCUCAAAGAAGAAGCGCAGGAGUACCUGGACGAGGACAAGCUCAAGGAGCUCGUGGGCAAGUACAGCGAGUUCAUCAACUUCCCCAUCUACCUCUGGCAGUCGAGCGAGGUGGAGGAGGAGGUGCCCGUGGACGAGGUCGUCGAGGGCGAGGAGGACGACGACGAAGACGCGGACGCGUCGGACGACGACGAAGAGGACUCCGCCGCGGCCGACGACGACGACGAAGACGCGUCCGUGGAGGACGACGACGACGACGACGCGGACGAGGACGAGGACGAGGACAAGCCGAAGACGAAGAAGGUGAAGAAGACGGUCUGGGACUGGGAGCUCCUCAACGACUCCAAGGCGAUUUGGCUUCGCAACGCCGCCGACGUGGAAGAGGACGAGUACGCCAAGUUUUUCAAGGCGCUGUCCAAGUCCGAGGACGCGCCGCUGUCGUACAC